Molecule: transfer RNA, 60 nt
Filed under: Diporiphora nobbi (nobbi lashtail)
Lineage: Eukaryota; Metazoa; Chordata; Lepidosauria; Squamata; Agamidae
Description: tRNA-Tyr
Source: RNAcentral
GUAAAGAGAGGAUCACACCCCGUAAAUGGAAUUACAACCCACCACCUAUUCUCAGCCAUC